UGACCCCAGGUCAGGCGGGAUUACCCGCUGAAUUUAAGCAUAUCAAUAAGAAGAGGAAAACAAACUUACUAGGAUUCUGUCAGUAACAGCGAGCAAACCGGGAAGAACCCAACUCUAUAAUCGGUCGCCCUCGGUGUCUGAAUUAUAGUCUGGAGAAGCAUCCUUAGUGAUAGAAUGUGAAAGCCCCAUCACGCCCGGACCCUGUCGCACCACGAGUCACUGUCUACGAGUCAUUUUGUUUGGGAAUGAUGCCUUACUCAGGCGGUAAAUUCGUCUAAGGCUAAAUACGGGUGAGAGACCGAUAACGAACAAGUACCGCGAGGAAAACAUGAAAAGGACUUUGAAAAGAGAGUCAAAGAGUGCUUGAAAUUAUCAAAAGAGUGCUUGAAAUUAUAGUAGAGAAGCGGAAAAAAGCCGAUGAUGCACCCCGAUCGGAUGUAGAAUGACGACAACCAGUCCGGAGAUCAGCUCGAGACGUGGAUUGACGUGGAUCGUAGUGGCGGCAUAAGAACGGGCCAUUUAUACGCUACAGAGAAGUCGUUACCUCGAUUAUGGAACCUAACACUCACCGUCUUGGCUCGUUUCGGCAUAAGCCUACUCAGGGCUUCGCCUGCGAGCUCCCCAUCCGACCCUUCUUGCAACACAAACCAAGGAGUCUAACAUGUGUACGAUUCAAUAGGCAAAAACCCUGUAAGGCUCAAGGAAGCUAAUUAGCAGAAUCCGUCACGGGUGCACUGCCGACUGAAGUUGAUAUUCUCAGAAGGGCCGAGUGAGAACAUGCCUAUCGGGACCCGAAAGAUGGUAAAAUAUGACUGAGUAUGGCGAAGCCAGUGGAAACUGGUGAAGGCCCGCAACGAUUCUGACGUGCAAAUCAUUCGUCUGACUUGGGUAUAGGGGUGAAAGACUAAUCAAACCAUCUAGUAGCUAGUUCCCUCCAAAGUUUCCCUCAGGAUAGUUAUAGCCCUUUACGAGUUCUAUCAGGUAAAGCCAAUGAUUAGAGGCAAUGGGGGCCCAAUGCCCUCGAUCUAUUCUCAAACUUUAAAUAGAUUGGAUGGUACGACUGCUUCAUUGAGCCAUUUCAUGGAAUCGAGAGCUCCAAGUAGACCAUUUUUGUAAGCAGAACUGGCGAUACUAGAUGAACCGAAAGCAAGGUUAUUGAGCCCAACUACACGCUAACCUAUAACCCCCAAAGGGUAUUGGUCAAUUAAGAUAGCAGGAAGGUGGUCAUGGAAGUUGAAAUCCACUAAGGAGUGUGUAAAAACUCACCUACCGAAUCAAGUAGCCCCAAAAAUGGAUAGCGCUUAAGCACGGGACUUAUAUCUGAUCGUUGGGGUAAAGGGAAGGCCUUGAUGAGUAUGAGGGUGCAGCGGUCGCUGUAAAACCUGGUACGUGAGCCCUAGCAGAGCAUCUGUCAGUACAGAUCUCGGUGGUAGUACCAAAUAUUCAAAUGAAAACUUUGAAGGCCAAAAAAGGGAAAGGUUCCAUAUGAACGACACUUGCACAUGGGUUAGUCGAUCCUAAGAGAUGGGGGAAACACGUCCGAUAGCACGUUCCGUGUGAGCUUCGAAAGAGGAUCGAGUUAAAGUUCCUAAAUCGGGACACGACGGCUGACAGUAACAUUAAAGAGUCUGAAGAUGUCGGAGGGGGCCUCGGGAAGAGUUAUCUUUUCUGUUUAACUGCCUGUCCACCCUAGAAAUGGCUCAAUCGGAGGUAGGCUCCAGCGGUCGAAAGGCCGAGUAUCAUCCGCGCUCGAUCAUACUCAUAACCGCAUCAGGUCUCCACGGUGAACAACCUCUUGUCGAUGGAACAAUGUAGGCAAGGGAAGUCAGCAAAAUGGAUCCACAUCCUGGGAAGAGGAUUGGUUCUAAGGGUUGGGCACGGGGGUCCCAGUCCCGAACUCGUUGGCUGCCGGUGCAUUGCUGAAACUAUUCCCGCAGCGAAAGCGGGUCAUCGCGUGCUGAUCAGGGGACGGACUGGGAACGGCUCCUUCGGUGUUCUUCCUCGGGAAACGAAUAGUCAACUCAGAAUUGGUACGGACUAGGCUAAUAUAAUUAUUUAAUUAAAACAAAGCAUUGUGAUGGUCUCUGCGGAUGCUCACGCAAUGUGAUUCUGCCCAGUGCUAUGAAUGUCAAAGUGAAAAAAUUCAACCAAGCGCAGGUAAAAGGCGGGAGUAACUAUGACUCUCUUAAGGUAACCAAAUGCCUUGUCAUCUAAUUAGUGGAAUUCAUUAAAGGAUUAACGAGAUUCCCACUGUCCCUGCCUAUUAUCCAGUGAAACCACAUCCAAGGGAACGAGUUUGGCAGAAUCAGCGGGGAAAGAAGACCCUGUUGAGCUUGACUUUAGUCUGACUUUGUGAAAUGACUUGAGAGGUGUAGGAUAAGUGGGAGCUCUAGGGAUAAAUUGAAAUAACACUACUAUUAAUGUUAUCUUACUUAUUCAGUGAAUUGGAAGUAAGGAACGACCCCUCUUUUUGGACCCAAGGCUGACUUUUGUUGGUCGAUCUGGGCGAAGACAUUAUCAGGUGGGGAGUUUGGCUGGGGUGACACAUCUGUUAAAAGAUAAUGCUGUUGUCCUAAGAUAAUCUCAAAGAGAACACAAAUCUCAUGUGGAAAAGGGUAAAAGCUCGUUUUAUUCUGAUUUCCAGUAUAAAUAUGAACCAUGAAAGCGUGACCUAUUGAUCCUUUGACCUUCAAAAUUUGAAGCUAGAGGUGUCAGAAAAGUUAGCACAUGGAUAACUGGCUUGUGGUAGCCAAGCAUUCAUAGGGACAUUGCUUUUUGAUCCUUCGAUGUCCGCUCUUCCUAUCAUUGUGAAGCACAAUUACCAAGUGUUGGGUUUAGACCAUCGUGAGACAUGUUAGUUUUACCCUACUGAUGGUCGUCAUAAUAGUAAUUCAACAUAGUAUGAGAGGAACCAUUGAUUCGCACAAUUGGUCAUCGCCCUUGGUUGAAAAGCCAAUGGUGCGAAGCUACCGUGCGAUGGAUUAUGACAGAACGCUUCUAAGUCAGAAUCUGAGCUAGAAGUGACUCAUGUGCCCGUCGCCCGAUUACCGACCCGUAGUAGGGGCGUUGACCCCCAAGGGCUCAUGUCGUGGGUGCUGCACGCGUAUCAGACAAGUCGCGGUGCCUCCCUGGAAUGUAAUUUCUACCAAGCGGCAGGUAGAAUCCUUUACAGAUGACUUAAAUACGCGAUGGGGUAUUGUCAGUGGCAGAGUAGCCUUACUACCAUGAUCCACUGAGAUUCGACUCUUUGUCGCUUCGAUUUGU
Hibiscus syriacus is the source of this 3264-nucleotide ribosomal RNA. The record is from RefSeq and is a predicted model, not a curated record. Lineage: Eukaryota; Viridiplantae; Streptophyta; Magnoliopsida; Malvales; Malvaceae.